GAUGAACGCUAGCGGGAGGCCUAACACAUGCAAGCCGAGCGGUAGAGCUUCUUCGGCAACUUGUGCUCGGCUCACGGGUGCGUAACACGUGUGCAACCUACCUUUAUCUGGGGGAUAGCCUUUCUAAAGGAAGAUUAAUACCCCCUAAUAUAAUGAUUGGCAUCAAUUAUUAUUGAAAACUCCGGUGGAUAGAGAUGGGCACGCGCAAGACUAGAUAGUUGGUGAGGGAACGGCUCACCAAGUCAAUGAUCUUUAGGUGUCCUGAGAGGGAGAUCCCCCACACUGGUACUGGGACACGGACCAGACUCCUACGGGAGGCAGCAGUGAGGAAUAUUGGACAAUGGAUGAGAGCCUGAUCCAGCCAACCCGCGUGAAGGAUGACGGUCCUAUGGAUGGUAGCCUUCUGUUGUACAGGGAUAAACCCACUCUCGGGAGGGUAGCUGAAGGUACUGGACGAAUAAGCACCGGCUAACUCCGUG
RNAcentral lists this ribosomal RNA (479 nucleotides) under uncultured bacterium. RNAcentral describes it as "partial 16S ribosomal RNA". It matches the Rfam family "Bacterial small subunit ribosomal RNA", at positions 28 to 507 of the family's 1533-position model. The record is from RNAcentral.